This 359-nucleotide ribosomal RNA is filed under the name Lamproderma echinosporum. RNAcentral's name for it is "SSU rRNA". It matches the Rfam family "Eukaryotic small subunit ribosomal RNA", at positions 80 to 350 of the family's 1831-position model. The record is from RNAcentral. Lineage: Eukaryota; Evosea; Eumycetozoa; Stemonitida; Stemonitidae.
UCUGAAUCUGCGAACGGCUCCGCAAACCAGUUGUAAACUACAGCAAGCAAGCACGGGGGGUUGGCCUUCACGGGUCGGUCCCUCGGGCGAUAUGGAUAACCCUGGUAAUUCUGAGGCUAAUACAAGAACGUAACCCCUGGCUGACUGAGCCCUCGCCCUCGGGUGGGGAUACUUGGGAGGCUGGGAAGCGUGCGAGUACUAAUGCGAAUGAGAACCGGGAAUGGGCGCACGCUUGGACCGCGCUACAAAGGAUCAUUACUCGGCAAUCCCUCCGGGGUGCGCUUUGUUUUGGCCCUAGCGCUCUUGCGGUGUGCUUCUGACCUAUCAACUAGACGGCAGCGUAACGGACAUGCUAUGGU